RNAcentral lists this transfer RNA (75 nucleotides) under Candidatus Altarchaeales archaeon. Its description in RNAcentral is "tRNA-Ile". It matches the Rfam family "tRNA". From Rfam's summary of the family: Transfer RNA (tRNA) molecules are approximately 80 nucleotides in length. Their secondary structure includes four short double-helical elements and three loops (D, anti-codon, and T loops). Further hydrogen bonds mediate the characteristic L-shaped molecular structure. tRNAs have two regions of fundamental functional importance: the anti-codon, which is responsible for specific mRNA codon recognition, and the 3' end, to which the tRNAs corresponding amino acid is attached (by aminoacyl-tRNA synthetases). tRNAs cope with the degeneracy of the genetic code in two manners: having more than one tRNA (with a specific anti-codon) for a particular amino acid; and 'wobble' base-pairing, i.e. permitting non-standard base-pairing at the 3rd anti-codon position. The record is from RNAcentral. Lineage: Archaea; Nanobdellati; Candidatus Altarchaeota; Candidatus Altarchaeia; Candidatus Altarchaeales.
GGUCCCGUGGCUCAGACUGGUUAGAGCACCUGACUGAUAAUCAGGGGGUCGCGAGUUCAAAUCUCGUCGGGACCA